GGCCCAAUGGUCCUUCUCUGGUAGCUCCAGGCAUUGACCAGGGGAUCUAUAAUUGGGCCAAGAAUCAGUUUUCACUCAUUGAUAGGAACCUGGAACUUCAUUUUGUUAGUCUGCGGAGCCUAUUAUUGUGAUUAAAUUG
Non-coding RNA from Triticum aestivum (bread wheat), 139 nucleotides. NCBI's taxonomy places the organism in Eukaryota, Viridiplantae, Streptophyta, Magnoliopsida, Poales, Poaceae. The record is from Rfam.